GAUGAACGCUGGCGGUAUGCUUAACACAUGCAAGUCGAACGGACUCUUCGGAGUUAGUGGCGGACGGGUGAGUAACGCGUGAGAAUCUGGCUUUGGGUUCGGGACAACCACUGGAAACGGUGGCUAAUACCGGAUGUGCCGAGAGGUAAAAGAGAAAUUGCCUGAAGAUGAGCUCGCGUCUGAUUAGCUAGUUGGUGAGGUAAAGGCUCACCAAGGCAGCGAUCAGUAGCUGGUCUGAGAGGAUGACCAGCCACACUGGGACUGAGACACGGCCCAGACUCCUACGGGAGGCAGCAGUGGGGAAUUUUCCGCAAUGGGCGAAAGCCUGACGGAGCAAUACCGCGUGAGGGAAGAAGGCUCUUGGGUUGUAAACCUCUUUUCUUAGGGAAGAACAAAAUGACGGUACCUAAGGAAUCAGCAUCGGCUAACUCCGCG
RNAcentral lists this ribosomal RNA (435 nucleotides) under uncultured bacterium. RNAcentral's name for it is "partial 16S ribosomal RNA". It matches the Rfam family "Bacterial small subunit ribosomal RNA", at positions 28 to 507 of the family's 1533-position model. The record is from RNAcentral.